AGUCUCUGGUCCCCGCCGAACCUCUCCCCACCUCCACCUUCCCCAUGUGCACCUUCCCCUCUCUCUUGCUUUUUGCCUGGACCGCCACCACCUCUCGUCUCCAUCCUCUCCCACCUGCCCUUUCAUCUUUCCCCUCCUCCACGCCAAGCAUCAGCGGGAGAAACCCCACAGUACACCUCCUCCCCGCCAUGGCGCCGCUGCUGCGGGCACCCCCCUCGCCGUCCGAGCCCACCAGAAGAACCGGCUCGCCGUCCUCUACGUCUAGGUGCAAGGAAUCGAGCUGGGGUUCGCUCAAUCGUCACCAACUUCGCCGUUUCUCUUCUCCGGCCGUCGCACUCCGGCAAGGAUCUCGUCGCCGUCCGGCCUUCCCCGACCCUUCCGAGCACCUCUACAGUUUCUAGGGGCUCGACGCCGUCGACUCUCCGGUGAGCCCCUGCACUAUGCACCGGCACCAUCAAGUUCUCCACGUUCAGGCGCAUCCCCGAGCCAUCUUUGGUGUCCCGGUUUGCUCGAAAUCGGGAGAUCGAAUCCUGACUGGAUCUCCCUCCGCCAUGAUUGCAGUUGCUGAAGCUCGUUCGUUUCAUGAGCUUGUUCUAAAGGCCACGCGCCACUGUUCAUUCCCCAACACCGCACCAGCCCAGUGAUCUGCAGAUGGACCUCGGCCAGAUCCGUCAGGCAGUCCAGCCCACGCGCGUCGGCCUUCCUUCGGCUGGUCAGCAUUUGCUUCUUUCCGGAUAGGAUCACGAAGUGUUGAUGUGAGAUACGACGAGUUCUCCGACAAGUUCUUCUGCAGCUUUUCACAGGCGAGCCCUCUCUCUUCACCUAUUUUACUCUCUCCCUCGCAUUGCUAUCCUUAUGUUGCGCUUCUUUAUCGAGUCACGUGUCCUAUUCCACUUGUUUACCAUAAUAAUCCUAUAUGCACCAUUCCUUAUCCAUAGCCGUUGCUUGAUGUUUGAGCCUUGCGAGUCGUAGGCGUGUUUAGGCUCUGUUGUUUAUCUCGAUCUGUUAUCGGGAUAUGUUGGGUUGUUGGGAGGUUAUCACAUGCUAUAUUAGUUGUUGGAUAUAAUCACACUUUACUUUAUUGUUAACAACUAAAAUUGUAAGCAGAGGCAUCUGUGAGCCCCUUUGCGAAAGCAUCGGAACUUUGACUUGCUAAUGUCCCCUAGGACCCGAGUUCUUGUUAUCUGUUCCGAGAUUGAGCGCUCUACCCAUGCGUGGGGACGAUUAUUGGGACCCCCCCCCCCUCACCCAUUACCUUUUCUCAAGUCAGUUGAAAAGGGGGCCACAACCUUGGUUUUAUUUGCCUAUGCCAUGUAUGCCAUGCUUUAUUACUGUUGCCUUCGGGUGUUUACUUCCUGUUGCCUUCGGGUGUUUAUAUUCAGAUCUUGUACCCGCGGGACGUUUAGCGAAAGCGUGUGGUUCGCACGCCUAGCCGCCGUCGCAAACCCUGAGUCCGCUUCGGAGUACGGCCGGACUUCGUUACGGGUAGCUUAGUUGGGUGGCCCCCCUAGACUUUCUUGUUGAACUGGGAACGGUCUUGUUGUGAGACAUCCACCUGUCGUAAGUGGGUCGAGCAUGCGUAUGGUUACAUUUGGGCAACCCCUGCAGGGUGUACAUCUUAUCGAUAAGCCGUGUCCGCGGUUAUGGACGACUUGGAAUUGCAUAGCUUGAUCAUAGAACAACUUACACCUUUAUGUUGUUGAUAAUAAUUUGCUAAUAACUUGAUUAGUAAUAUAGCAUUACUACAACCGAUACCUAAUAAAACUUGUCCACCGUUGAGUGCCUUUUACAUUGCCUCUUCGCAAUUGUUGGAGGGGAUAUGUGUAUUUGGCCGGGUUAUGUUUGUGUAGUAUUUAUCUAUUACCUUGUGCGCUCUCUUAUCUUAUCUGAGUAGACGGAUGUUGUAGUGUGUCUCUAUUGGUUAUAGUUUUGCUGCCGCUAAACCUACCAUAUAGCCCCAGGCGAUAUUUAUUUAUACUCGCUCGGCGAGCAUAGCCAUUUCUAAGUCUCGCUAAGUACGUGCCGGAGUUCGUUCCUUGGUACUUACUCUCGCCUUUCCUUUUUCUCUUUUGCUUCCUCCCUUUUGUCGGCAACCGAUGGCCCGACUUUGAUAGGUACGAGAUGACGACGUUAGCAAGGUUACCCUUCCGGCUUGGCCUGGACAGGGUUAUGGACGUCACUGGUUAUCUUCAGGACUCUUAGUCCAAUUUGUAUCUUGUCCGUACUCGGACGUAUUCGAUCUUCUGUAUGAUUUGGAUCUUUGUAUUGUAUAUUUGUAUCUUGACUCGUUGGAGUCGUUGUUGUAAUAUAUGUUUCUUGUGGGCUCUAUUGUAA
Long non-coding RNA from Lolium perenne, 2334 nucleotides. RefSeq lists it as uncharacterized. Lineage: Eukaryota; Viridiplantae; Streptophyta; Magnoliopsida; Poales; Poaceae. The record is from RefSeq and is a predicted model, not a curated record.